UUUUUAUUAAGAAGGGCGGAGAGAUUAGGCUCAUGGAAACCCUGGCAACCAAUCCCGAAUAUCGGGCGAACGGUGCCAAAACCUAAUCCCGGAAAAGCCGGGAGAUGAUAAAAA
This 114-nucleotide non-coding RNA is filed under the name Bacteroidota bacterium. RNAcentral describes it as "Bacteroidetes bacterium SAM-I sequence". It matches the Rfam family "SAM riboswitch aptamer (S box leader)". Rfam says of the family: The SAM riboswitch is found upstream of a number of genes which code for proteins involved in methionine or cysteine biosynthesis in Gram-positive bacteria. The SAM riboswitch acts at the level of transcription termination control. The record is from RNAcentral. Lineage: Bacteria; Pseudomonadati; Bacteroidota.